Marmota monax (woodchuck) is the source of this 670-nucleotide non-coding RNA. The record is from the annotation of a RefSeq genome assembly. NCBI's taxonomy places the organism in Eukaryota, Metazoa, Chordata, Mammalia, Rodentia, Sciuridae.
GCAAAAGACAUAAUUUCAUUUUCCUUAUGUAUUAAUAAAACUCCAUUGUGUGUAUGUAUAUAUACCACGUUUUCUUUACCCAUUUAUUUAUUGAUGGACACCUAGGCUGCAGGUUCAAUAGUUGUUAAAUUAAGAAGGGAGUCUGGGUUGGUGAGAUUGCCAGUCACACACACAGCAGUUAGACAUGACUUCCUUUCCUGUUCUGGGGCAGCAGCAGCUUGGAGCUCAGUAGUACCUCCCUCACCCUGUCAGCCUGCCCACCCAGUACAGAGCCCUGAAGUCAAAGAAGAAUUUCUUCUGAAGGAAUAAGGCAAACAUGGUGCUGCCCAGACUGCUGAAACUGGUCAUGGUGUCCAUGUGGCUGGGAUCCAGUUUUGCCCAGAAGGUGACUCAAGCCCAGCCAGCCAUGUGGGUGCAGGAGAAGGAAGCUGUGAGCCUGCUCUGCUCCUAUGACACCAGUGCUGGAAGUUAUGAUCUCCUCUGGUACAAGCAGCCCAGCAGUGGGGAGAUGGUCUUCCUCAUCCUUCAGAACUCUUACAGCCAGCAAAAUGCCACAAAAGGUCGCUACUCAGUGAAUUUGCAGAAGGCAAGCAAAUCCAUCCAGCUUGUCAUCUCAGCCUCACAGCUGGGGGACUCAGCGGUGUAUUUCUGUGCACUGAGAGAUAGAUAG